Molecule: ribosomal RNA, 433 nt
Filed under: uncultured bacterium
Lineage: Bacteria
Description: partial 16S ribosomal RNA
Rfam family: Bacterial small subunit ribosomal RNA
Source: RNAcentral
AACGAACGCUGGCGGCAUGCCUAACACAUGCAAGUCGAACGAGACCUUCGGGUCUAGUGGCGCACGGGUGCGUAACGCGUGGGAACCUGCCCUUAGGUUCGGAAUAACUCCCCGAAAGGGGUGCUAAUACCGGAUAAUGUCUUCGGACCAAAGAUUUAUCGCCUUUGGAUGGGCCCGCGUUGGAUUAGCUAGUUGGUAGGGUAAAAGCCUACCAAGGCGACGAUCCAUAGCUGGUCUGAGAGGAUGAUCAGCCACACUGGGACUGAGACACGGCCCAGACUCCUACGGGAGGCAGCAGUAGGGAAUAUUGGACAAUGGGCGAAAGCCUGAUCCAGCAAUGCCGCGUGAGUGAUGAAGGCCUUAGGGUUGCAAAGCUCUUUUACCCGGGAUGAUAAUGACAGUACCGGGAGAAUAAGCUCCGGCUAACUCCGUG